CCCGGGCUUGGAGCAGAUUCAAAUGGUUGCUUGUUGAUGCCUAUGGAGUGCAAAGCUGAGAGCAUCUCAUCAACAAUGUUCAUGCCAUUGCCCUAGUUCUUUGGAGGAGAAACAAUUGGAAAUGAAGCAGCAUCAGACAUUGCUAUCUUUCCUUCUAUGCUCAAAAGCUUUCUUGCUUUCAUCGACGAUGCAAGGAAUAAGAAAAAGAUGAAAAAAACCACUA
RNAcentral lists this long non-coding RNA (223 nucleotides) under Elaeis guineensis (African oil palm). RNAcentral describes it as "long non-coding RNA (EGUI_LNC000504)". The record is from RNAcentral. Lineage: Eukaryota; Viridiplantae; Streptophyta; Magnoliopsida; Arecales; Arecaceae.